RNAcentral lists this ribosomal RNA (590 nucleotides) under uncultured bacterium. RNAcentral describes it as "partial 16S ribosomal RNA". It matches the Rfam family "Bacterial small subunit ribosomal RNA", at positions 356 to 937 of the family's 1533-position model. The record is from RNAcentral.
UGGGAAUUUUGGACAAUGGGCGCAAGCCUGAUCCAGCCAUGCCGCGUGCGGGAAGAAGGCCUUCGGGUUGUAAACCGCUUUUGUCAGGGAAGAAAUCUUCUGAGUUAAUACCUCGGGAGGAUGACGGUACCUGAAGAAUAAGCACCGGCUAACUACGUGCCAGCAGCCGCGGUAAUACGUAGGGUGCAAGCGUUAAUCGGAAUUACUGGGCGUAAAGCGUGCGCAGGCGGUUUUGUAAGACAGAGGUGAAAUCCCCGGGCUCAACCUGGGAACUGCCUUUGUGACUGCAAGGCUUGAGUGCGGCAGAGGGGGAUGGAAUUCCGCGUGUAGCAGUGAAAUGCGUAGAUAUGCGGAGGAGCACCGAUGGCGAAGGCAAUCCCCUGGGCCUGCACUGACGCUCAUGCACGAAAAGCGUGGGGAGCAAAACAGGAUUAGAUACCCUGGUAGUCCACGCCCUAAAACGAUGUCAACUGGUUGUUGGGAAGGUUCCUUCUCAGUAACGUAGCUAACGCGUGAAAGUUGACCGCCUGGGGAGUACGGCCGCAAAGGUUGAAAACUCAAAAGGAAUUGACGGGGUCAUAGCUGUUUCC